This 383-nucleotide ribosomal RNA is filed under the name uncultured eukaryote. Its description in RNAcentral is "partial 18S ribosomal RNA". It matches the Rfam family "Eukaryotic small subunit ribosomal RNA", at positions 592 to 976 of the family's 1831-position model. The record is from RNAcentral.
CAAUAGCGUAUAUUAAAGUUGUUGCAGUUAAAAAGCUCGUAGUUGGAUUUCUGGUAGGAGCGACCGUGCCGAACUUGAUUGUUCGAGUAUUGCGUUGUCUUCAGCCAUCCUCGUGGAGAACUUUUCUAACAUUAACUUGUUGGGAUUGGGACCCGCGUCGUUUACUGUGAAAAAAUUAGAGUGUUUAAAGCAGGCAUUAGCUUGAAUACAUUAGCAUGGAAUAAUAAGAUAGGACUUUGGUACUAUUUUGUUGGUUUGCAUACCAAAUUAAUGAUCAACAGGAACAGUUUGAGGAUAUUCGUAUGAACAUGUCAGAGGUGAAAUUCUUGGAUUUUGAUCAGACGAACUACUGCGAAAGCAUUUAUCAAGGAUGUUUUCAUUAA